UUUGAUCAUUAAAUUAGUUUUUAGAUAGUCAAUUUGAUUAUCAAAUAUUUUUCAUUUGUUAAUUUAGUCCACAAAAUUACUAACAAAAGAGGCACUAUGGGUAUAUAAGUGUGUUUGCAAUUUUGAUAUAUUCAUGAACCAAUAUGACAACGAGUUUUGCUUCCGAAGACUAAAAUGAUGGUUUACGUUUUUUUUUUUUGUUAAUCAACCUUCACCAAAAAACUCAAAUGUAUUUUGAUUAUCGUUUUAUAUUUUAGUUAGAAUAUUGUUUGAUCUCUACAUUUUGUUUGCUUUUUAAUAAUGGUCCUUGCAUUUCAAAAAAUAUUUUUUAAAAUUUUAUAGCUUAUUCUUGUUACCAAAUUCAGUCCCUCCAAUUGUUUUCUAGACAAAUGACUAACGUGGUAAUGGUGGACCCGAUUAAAUAUGUUUUUUGUUCAUGCAUUUUGCUCAAGUUAGUAUUUGUUCUUGUCAGUUUAAUAUCUAAUAUGUGUACUGAUGUCUGUUUAAAAUUGUUUUGUAAAAAAAUUAUUUUAACCCUAAAAUGAAAAUCUAAUAUCCUAAUAGCUUUUCUAUAAUCAAUUUUUAAAAAAAAUCUAAGGAACCUAAGCGUAAGAUUUUUACAUUUUUAAAAAUUGAUUUUUAUGAUA
This 647-nucleotide long non-coding RNA is filed under the name Trifolium pratense (red clover). RNAcentral describes it as "long non-coding RNA (TPRA_LNC009420)". The record is from RNAcentral. Lineage: Eukaryota; Viridiplantae; Streptophyta; Magnoliopsida; Fabales; Fabaceae.